This 2896-nucleotide ribosomal RNA is filed under the name Zhenpiania hominis. RNAcentral's name for it is "23S ribosomal RNA". It matches the Rfam family "Bacterial large subunit ribosomal RNA". Lineage: Bacteria; Bacillati; Bacillota; Clostridia; Peptostreptococcales; Anaerovoracaceae. The record is from RNAcentral.
AGGUCAAGCAAGAAAGGGCACAAGGCGGAUGCCUUGGCACUGGGCGCCGAAGAAGGACGUGACAAGCUGCGAAAAGCUGCGGGGAGGAGCAAAUAUCCGUUAAUCCGCAGAUAUCCGAAUGGGGGAACCCACCGGUCGUAAUGGGCCGGUAUCCUGCGCUGAAUCUAUAGGCGUAGAGAAGGGAACGAGGGGAACUGAAACAUCUAAGUACCCUUAGGAAGAGAAAGAAAAAUCGAUUUCCCAAGUAGCGGCGAGCGAACGGGAAAGAGCCCAAACCGAAUUCUUAAGGAUUCGGGGUUGCGGACCGUGCAAGAGACUCAAGACACCUAGCCGAACAUACUGGAACGUAUGGACAAAGAGGGUGAAAUUCCCGUAGGCAAAAGGGGACGAGAGCGAGCGCGGCACCAGAGUAGUACCGGACACGUGAAACCCGGUAUGAAGCAGGGAGGCCCACCUCCCAAGGCUAAAUACGACCCAGUGACCGAUAGAGAAUAGUACCGUGAGGGAAAGGUGAAAAGGACCCCGGGAGGGGAGUGAAAGAGAACCUGAAACCUUGUGCUUACAAGCAGAGGGAGCGAAAGUGACCUCGUACUUUUUGUAGAACGGGCCAACGAGUUACGGUAUGGAGCGAGGUUAAGAUGCUGGAGCAUCGGAGCCGAAGCGAAAGCGAGUCUGAAGAGGGCGGAAGUUGCAUGCUGUAGACCCGAAACCGGGUGACCUAUCCAUGUGCAGGUUGAAGCGAGAGUAAAAUCUCGUGGAGGACCGAACCCAUAUACGUUGAAAAGUGUUGGGAUGACGUGUGGAUAGCGGUGAAAUUCCAAUCGAACCCGGAGAUAGCUGGUUCUCCUCGAAAUAGCUUUAGGGCUAGCCUGGAAGAGAGAUACACGGAGGUAGAGCACUGAAUGUUCUAGGGGCCUUCACCGGUUACCGAAAACUAUCAAACUCCGAAUGCCGUGCAAUCAGCUUCCGGAGUCAGACUAUGGGAGAUAAGUUUCAUAGUCGAGAGGGAAAGAGCCCAGACCUACAGCUAAGGUCCCAAAAUGUAAGUUAAGUGGAAAAGGAUGUGGAGCUGCAUAGACAGCUAGGAUGUUGGCUUAGAAGCAGCCACUCAUUCAAAGAGUGCGUAACAGCUCACUAGUCGAGUGGCUCUGCGCCGAAGAUAAACGGGGCUAAAACUUACUACCGAAGCUUAGGAUACUUUUAAGAGUAUGGUAGAGGAGCAUCGUAUACGGGCCGAAGCCAAACUGUGAGGUUUGGUGGACUGUAUAGGAGAGAGAAUGUUGGCAUGAGUAGCGAGAGACGGGUGAGAAUCCCGUCCGCCGAAAAUCUAAGGAUUCCUGAGGAAGGUUCGUCCACUCAGGGUAAGUCGGGACCUAAGCCGAGGGCGAAAGCCGUAGGCGAUGGACAACUGGUAGAGAUUCCAGUACCACCGAGCGUUGUAAGAGUGAAGUGGGGACACAGGAGGAUGAGCAGAGCGUGCCGUUGGUAGAGCACGUGCAAGCGUCGAGUGAGAAUUGGGAGGCAAAUCCCCCGAUUCAAUCGUGAGGCGUGAUGCGGAGGGAAAAAAAGUACCGGAAGCUGUGACAUUCAGACUGUCAAGAAAAGCCGCUAGCGAGACGUAAGGUGCCCGUACCGCAAACCGACACAGGUAGAUGAGGAGAGAAUCCUAAGGCGAGCGAGAGAACUAUUGUUAAGGAACUCGGCAAAAUGACCCCGUAACUUCGGGAGAAGGGGUGCCAUCGAAAGAUGGCCGCAGUGAAAAGGCCCAGGCGACUGUUUAGCAAAAACACAGGUCUCUGCGAAAGCGAAAGCUGAAGUAUAGGGGCUGACGCCUGCCCGGUGCUGGAAGGUUAAGGGGAGAGCUUAGCGUGAGCGAAGGUUUGAACUUAAGCCCCAGUAAACGGCGGCCGUAACUAUAACGGUCCUAAGGUAGCGAAAUUCCUUGUCAGGUAAGUUCUGACCCGCACGAAAGGCGUAACGAUCUGGGCACUGUCUCAACAAUAGACUCGGUGAAAUUGUAGUACCGGUAAAGAUGCCGGUUACCCGCAGCAGGACGGAAAGACCCCAUGGAGCUUUACUGCAGCUUGAUAUUGAGUUUCGGCAUUGCACGUACAGGAUAGGUGGGAGACUGAGAAUUCAGUACGCCAGUAUUGGAGGAGUCACCGUUGGGAUACCACCCUUGUAAUGUUGGAAUUCUAACCUGGUACCGUAACCCGGUAUGGGGACAGUGUCUGGCGGGCAGUUUGACUGGGGCGGUCGCCUCCUAAAGAGUAACGGAGGCGCCCAAAGGUUCCCUCAGUGCGGACGGAAAUCGCACGGAGAGUGUAAAGGCAGAAGGGAGCCUGACUGCGAGACAAACAGGUCGAGCAGGGACGAAAGUCGGGCUUAGUGAUCCGGUGGUACCGAGUGGAAGGGCCAUCGCUCAACGGAUAAAAGCUACCCUGGGGAUAACAGGCUGAUACCCCCCAAGAGUCCACAUCGACGGGGGUGUUUGGCACCUCGAUGUCGGCUCGUCUCAUCCUGGGGCUGAAGUAGGUCCCAAGGGUUGGGCUGUUCGCCCAUUAAAGAGGUACGCGAGCUGGGUUCAGAACGUCGUGAGACAGUUCGGUCCCUAUCCGCUGUGGGCGCAGGAGAUUUGAGUGGAGCUGUCCUUAGUACGAGAGGACCGGGAUGGACAUACCGCUGGUGCACCAGUUGUCUUGCCAAAGGCAUAGCUGGGUAGCCAAGUAUGGAAGGGAUAAGCGCUGAAAGCAUCUAAGUGCGAAGCCCCCCACAAGAAGAGAUCUCCGCCUUUAGAGGUAAGACCCGUGGAAGACUACCACGUAGAUAGGUCAGAGGUGGAAGCGCAGUAAUGUGUGAAGCUGACUGAUACUAAUCGGUCGAACGCUUGACCAAU